UACGUAGGGUCCGAGCGUUGUCCGGAAUUACUGGGCGUAAAGAGCUCGUAGGUGGUUUGUCGCGUUGUUCGUGAAAACUCACAGCUCAACUGUGGGCGUGCGGGCGAUACGGGCAGACUAGAGUACUGCAGGGGAGACUGGAAUUCCUGGUGUAGCGGUGGAAUGCGCAGAUACCAGGAGGAACACCGGUGGCGAAGGCGGGUCUCUGGGCAGUAACUGACGCUGAGGAGCGAAAGCGUGGGGAGCGAACAGG
Molecule: ribosomal RNA, 253 nt
Filed under: uncultured bacterium
Lineage: Bacteria
Description: partial 16S ribosomal RNA
Rfam family: Bacterial small subunit ribosomal RNA
Source: RNAcentral